GAUGAACGCAGCGGCAGGCCUAACACAUGCAAGUCGAGGGGUAACAUAGGAAAGCUUGCUUUUCUGAUGACGACCGGCGCACGGGUGCGUAACGCGUAUACAACCUACCUUUUAGCGGGGAAUAGCCCAGGGAAACUUGGAUUAAUGCCCCAUAGUAUAUAGACUUCUCCUGAAGUUUAUAUUAAACAUUUAUGGCUAUUAGAUGGGUAUGCGUCCUAUUAGUUAGUUGGUAAGGUAACGGCUUACCAAGGCAGCGAUAGGUAGGGGUCCUGAGAGGGAGAUCCCCACACUGGUACUGAGACACGGACCAGACUCCUACGGGAGGCAGCAGUGAGGAAUAUUGGACAAUGGGCGAGAGCCUGAUCCAGCCAUGCCGCGUGCAGGAAGACUGCCCUAUGGGUUGUAAACUGCUUUUACAGAGGAAGAACCACCCCCACGUGUGGGGGUUUGACGGUACUCUGCGAAUAAGGAUCGGCUAACUCCGUG
Molecule: ribosomal RNA, 486 nt
Filed under: uncultured bacterium
Lineage: Bacteria
Description: bacterial SSU rRNA
Rfam family: Bacterial small subunit ribosomal RNA
Source: RNAcentral